GAAAUGUGUCUAUUGUUGUCUUGAAUGAUAAUGUAUUUGUAUGUACAGUGGCUCCCAGUGUUGAUACUAGUUUUUUUUGCCUUUCAUACCAUAUAGCAACACAUGCUAGAGUUGUCUGUUGAUAUGAACGUUUUUAUAGAUAUAAAGAACUCUGCUUUAUUUUAUUAUUUUGUCAUGAAAUAUUAACCGGACAUUAAUGAUAACCGAAUCUAGCUAAAUUAUUUGUGUCCAAGUGUGAUAUGUGUAAGAUACACUGUUGUUCGCAAUUUUCCAAAUUUUGAAAGUGAUUUGGGAAGUCAGUGUGUUUAUACAAGCUACUCAUGAGGGUCUUGCACGUAAAAAAGGUGUGAAACUUAAUUGACAGGGGUAAUCUUUUGUACUGAGUAUGGUAUCAUCAAAUUUUACUGUCCAGUUAAAUGAAGCAAGAUUAGUAGUAAAUCAGUGUUUUGUGGUAAAAACAGACCGUCCAGAUCCGGAACGCGGAAUUCUGGAUAAAUGAGACAAAAUAACAUAUAAAAAAUCUGUUCCCAAAUAAAAUCGUCCGUAAACUGAAGCGUCCGGUUAUCUGGCAUCCGGAUAUCUGAGGCCCCACUGUAUAUCUGUAUUUCAACCCAAACAUAUUAAGUGAAACGAUCAAAAAAUAGUUGCAGAAAAUAGCAAAAUGAACUUAUUUAAUUUGACUUCUUUUAUCAUUAGCUGUAAGUCUGCGGAAACUUAGAAAGAAGAUGUUCAGGUUUUUUUAAUCUCCAAGUUCAUACUGCGCCGGAUACCCCGACCACUGACUUGUUUAACUAAACAAACUAUUAAAUAUUCUUUUAAUAUUACUUGUUGAGGGUUCUUCAAUGUUUAUGCCAAUUUUCACCAAAAUUCAUCAUUUAGAAGGGGAAAUAUUCCAGCUGUCUCAAUAAUUUCUGAAAAACCCUUGUACAUACACCCCCUACCCACCUACCCAUGAUGAUCUUCCCCCCCUUUCCACACUUUGCUACUUCCUGUUUAAUUUUGGAUCUGUUGGGGAUUUACGUUAAGUGUCUUUAGACUUUUUAUUGUAGAGCUGAUAUCUUUUAGAUCUGUAGAAUUUAUAUUUUAAUUAUAGUUUUGUUUCAUUUAAAGUAAUUUUGCCCAAUUUUCUGUUGUUUUAGAUGAUGGACCACUCUACUUCUUUUGACAACAGGUGCCCCUACAGAUUCACAAAGUUCCAAUGUUGAAUGUCCAUGACCCUGGUUGAUCCGCGACAGGAAAAGGAAUAAAGUUGGCAGGAAUUUCCGCACUGUCUUUGGUAGCAGCUGAUGAUGGAACUGACAGCAGUUGACAUGGCCUGUUUCUUCAAAGAUGCACCAGAAGCAGCAGCACUAUCUCCAUCACUGGUGAAAUGGGAAAUGACAAGUGGACGGUCAUCACUUUGCAGCUCAACGAUGCAUUCCGCAGCCCAUCUCUUUUCAUCUUCUAUGGUGUUCUCAGGAGGAAUGGUUGCAAUGCAGUCUUCAUGUCCUAGGCAUGUAACUUCCUUUUCCUUGGUUCUAAAAUAGGUGCCUUUCUUGCAUAGUUUAUUGCCACAAAACACAGCCACACCAUUCUUCUUGGUAACAUUUUCACUUAAGGUCAGACGACACGUUCCUCAAUUUUAGAUAACUUUUUCCAGGAAAUUGUUAAUGGUUUACUACUACUUUGACAAGCCUUCUUGCAAAAAAUUAGGGUACCUUCCCAAGCAUUUCUUCAAAAUACUAGAGUAUGCAAUUUCCUAUAUAAUCUUCUUGAAAAUACACUUGAAUUGCUGAUAUAAAAAUAAAUUCAUCUACACCACAGCGAUAUUCACUAUAUUAGAACUACAUCUCUGCCGGGGCGGGGCUUUGAACUCACGACCUCUAUAACCUAUAAACGCUUCUGACAGUGAGCUGCCACGGUUCUAACCACUCGACCAUCUAGACAUAUAACCACAUCUAAGUAAAUUGUGAUCAUUUUUAAAGUAAUUAUAAAAUUAAUAUUUUUUAUUGGAACUCUUUAUAAC
This is a long non-coding RNA of Magallana angulata, 2005 nucleotides long. RefSeq lists it as uncharacterized. Lineage: Eukaryota; Metazoa; Mollusca; Bivalvia; Ostreida; Ostreidae. The record is from RefSeq and is a predicted model, not a curated record. The transcript is spliced from 3 exons.